UACGUAGGGUGCGAGCGUUGUCCGGAAUUAUUGGGCGUAAAGAGCUCGUAGGCGGUGUGUCACGUCGUUCGUGAAAACCUGCAGCUUAACUGUGGGCGUGCGGUCGAUACGGGCAGACUGGAGGUAUGCAGGGGAGAACGGAAUUCCUGGUGUAGCGGCGAAAUGCGCAGAUAUCAGGAGGAACACCGGUGGCGAAGGCGGUUCUCUGGGCAUGUCCUGACGCUGAGGAGCGAAAGUGUGGGGAGCGAACAGG
This 253-nucleotide ribosomal RNA is filed under the name uncultured bacterium. RNAcentral's name for it is "partial 16S ribosomal RNA". It matches the Rfam family "Bacterial small subunit ribosomal RNA", at positions 524 to 776 of the family's 1533-position model. The record is from RNAcentral.